GAGGCACUCUUUCCUCUGGUUUAAAAACAUUUCCCAAUGCCGAAGGGUAGUGAUUGGGGACAUUGCCCUGUGUAGGGUGCUGUCUUUCAGCUGGGAUGUUAAAUGGGUGUCCUGACUCUCUGUGGUCACUAAAGAUUCCAUGGAACUUAUUGUAAGAUUAGGGGUGUUAACCCUGAUGUCCUGGCAAAAUUCCCAAUCUGGCCCUUAUACCAUCAUGAUCACUUAAUCAUCCCCAACUUACAAUUGGCUCAUUCAUCUCCCCUGUAACUAUUCCCCAGGUUGUUGCUGUAAAUGAGAAUGUGUUCUCAGUCAACUUACCUGGUUAAAUUAAAAGUAAUAGACUUCUAGUCUUUAAUUGUAUAUGUUUAUUGGGAUCCACAUGAUCUGUUACAAAGCAGCAGCGACUCUUCCUAGGGUCCAACAACUAUAAAGUUGUAUCCAAUUAUAAUUGACAUCUCUUUACAGGACAAUGUAACAGUGGUGGUAGCAGCGGAUGGCAUUUUUGGUUUGCCAAGAACAAGUAGUCUGGAUCAAUUUAUGAGCCACCAAAACAUGGGGAAAAGUACUUUGCAAACUGAGCUGAGGUGGAUCAAUUUGUUUGUAAGCCCAUAUCACCAACUGGGGUAAUGCCUGAAUGUAAUAUGCACUGCAUUUCAAGGAUACCUUCCAUUGUUACCUUAUGUACAACUGGAAGGGAAUGUGAACAAAAUCUAGAAUGAUUUGAAAUCAUGAUAUCAAACCUGGCCACUAAUUGAUAUUUAAAUGAUGCAGUUGUCCCUCCACUUCAUCUGUUUGACUCAGUGGUCUUAUGGUUGGAGACCGUAUGUUUGUAUUGUGCAUGUUGAAUGUAAUAUUAACCUGAUACCACUGUGUGAUCUGCUUCAGGCAACAGCUCAGUACGUUAUACCUGUACUGUACUUUAUAUAUAUAUUUUUAAGGUUGCCAUGGAUUUCAAGCGGGCAACACCAUCAAGUCCAAACCCAAAACAACGAAAUUGGACGAGACAGGGGGUUUGGGUUGGGGGUUUCCUGCAAGCAUGAGCACCCGCUUCACUUCUUGAACAUGAAAAAGGGUGAAAGUUUGUCAAAUGCAGUGUACCUGCUGCGAGAGAUGGAGGGGAUGAGAGGCAAGGACAUCAAUCUCUUCUUCAUGUAUGAUAUUGCAUGCAAGAUGCAGCCACAUGUGCAAAAACUUUCCUGAAUUGAAGCAUGAGACCAAAUUCGUUGUGCCAGUUUUCCAUGCUUAUGGACAUGACUUGCCAUGUCAGAUGAAAUCCAACAGCCGAUAUGUCGAAGGUGCUGGACUGGCAGAUGGGGACCAGAUCUAGAGGCUGUAGUCGUAUCUGAGGCGCUUUGGGAAGGUCACCAAAGAAAUGACGCCGUCCCAUCGUAUUGACCUCCUGACUGAUGCACUUCUCCAACGUUGGAAAAAGAUACACCAGAGACAACUGGACUCUCUGCCACAGAGGUUUGCAACAGAAGUUGCAACAGAGGCAGAAAGGGAAAUGGCAGAAAUGGCCUCUUCAAAGG
Long non-coding RNA from Oncorhynchus keta (chum salmon), 1529 nucleotides. RefSeq lists it as uncharacterized. The record is from RefSeq and is a predicted model, not a curated record. Lineage: Eukaryota; Metazoa; Chordata; Actinopteri; Salmoniformes; Salmonidae. The transcript has 5 exons.